Molecule: transfer RNA, 74 nt
Filed under: Bacteroidota bacterium
Lineage: Bacteria; Pseudomonadati; Bacteroidota
Description: tRNA-Pro
Rfam family: tRNA
About the family: Transfer RNA (tRNA) molecules are approximately 80 nucleotides in length. Their secondary structure includes four short double-helical elements and three loops (D, anti-codon, and T loops).
Source: RNAcentral
CGGCGUGUGGCGCAGCCUGGUAGCGCACUACUUUGGGGUAGUAGGGGCCGUGGGUUCAAAUCCCGCCACGCCGA